RNAcentral lists this ribosomal RNA (1491 nucleotides) under Triticum aestivum (bread wheat). RNAcentral describes it as "partial small subunit ribosomal RNA". The record is from RNAcentral. Lineage: Eukaryota; Viridiplantae; Streptophyta; Magnoliopsida; Poales; Poaceae.
AUGAGCGGCGUUGGGGGCGCCAUUGCGAGUGCUGUGGGGAAACAAGUCGUCAGCAAGCUCGGUAGAUUCGCGGCAGAGGAGAUCACUCUGCAAUGGAGGUUCAGAGAGGACGUGCUGGACAUGGCAGAGAAGAUGAACGAUAUGGAGGCCUUGUUGCUAGACGCCGACGACCGGUCGCGCCGAGUAGGAGAAGGUGGAAGGGUCUUUCAGCGGUGGCUUACAAAAUUUCAGGGCGUCGCCUAUGACGUCAAGGACGUGCUGAAUGAGUUGGACGCUGACGAGCUCAUCAGGAAGAGCCAGUCCAAGACCAAGGUAUGGUUUUCAAGAAACAAUCAACUCUUCCAACGAAUAAACAUGCCGCACAAGAUGAAGAACAUGAGGAAGAAAAUAGACGAGAUCGAAAAGGAGGGCAAAAGGAAGCUCAAUCUUGUGCCUCAGGAAGCAAGGGCAGAAGGGAGCAGAAAUAAUGAAACUUUUGCAGCCAACAAUGGUGAAAGCAUGAUAACCGAAACGGUGGGAAGGGAAAUCGAGAAGGUGAAGAUAAUCAGAGUGCUACUGGCAAGUGAAGCUAACCAGGAUAUUUCCAUCAUUCCUAUUGUUGGCCUUGGUGGUAUAGGCAAGACAACAUUGGUUGAAUCAGUUCUCGCAGACAAAUGGGUCACUGUCUUCGAUGUCUCACUCUUUGUCAGUGUGUCCAAGUCGUUCGAUUUGCGGAAAAUUGGGUGUGCCAUCCUGAAAAGGAUGAACAGCAGUAUCAACCUUGGUAAUUGUAAUUUGCAGUUUCUUCUCGAUAAUCGGAAAAAAGAACUUGAUAAUAGAAAAUACUUGAUUGUUUUGGAUGAUCUUUGGGAAGAAGAUGGAUAUACACUGGAAGAGCUGAAGCGGAUGCUGAAAUAUGGCUGCAAGGGAAGCCGGAUUGUAGUAACUACCCGAAACCUAAGUGUAGCGCAAAGACUGCGUACAGGUUCACUUGCAAAUGAAAGGAAAAUUUGCCCUGUGCCUGAGUCUGAUCAAAUAGAUUUGGGUGUUUUAUCAUCGGAUGAGUGCUGGAAAUUAAUGAAACAAAAGGCAUUUGGGCCCGAUGAUGACCACCAUAGCUUGGAACAAAUUGGAAGGCAAAUUGCGGAAAAAUGUGGAGGUCUACCGCUCAUGGAAAACUCUCUUGGGCAAGUAAUGUCAGAGCUAAGGACUGUGAGGGCAUGGGAAGAUAUAAGAGACGCAAAGGUUGAUUUGGGUUUGAGAGAACAACAUCAAAAGAAAACAUUAGAGGGUCUAAUGCUGAGCUAUUACUACAUGAAGCCAGACUUCAAGAUGUGUUUCACGUAUUUGGCAGCCUUCCCCAAAGGCUUUAUCAUGGAUGGCAAUCGUCUAAUCCAGCAAUGGAAGGCACUUGGAUACAUCUGUUCAGAGCAUGAUGGUCAAAGGUGCAUCAACUACCUUUUGGGGAUGUCCUUUCUUCAGAUUCCAAACUCCUCUUUGGUUAGUAUUUAA